Molecule: long non-coding RNA, 293 nt
Organism: Lethenteron reissneri (Far Eastern brook lamprey)
Lineage: Eukaryota; Metazoa; Chordata; Hyperoartia; Petromyzontiformes; Petromyzontidae
Source: RefSeq, a predicted model, not a curated record
GGUUCGGCGGUCAAGGCAUAGUGGUCAAGUGUCUUGACCACAGGACAAAUAGCCUGGUGGCGGUGAAAAUUCUGGGCAUUCCAGUGAGCGCCAAUCAUGCCAAUCUCCAGAGGAGGGAGAUAGAGAUCGGGAAUCAAGUUCAGGCGUGGGACACCGACGACUCCAACAUAAUCAAGAUGUUGGAUUGGUUUGAGUUCAGAAAACACUACGCCAUCGUCUUGGAGCUCUUGAGCGGAACCCUGGAUGACCUGAAUCGUCGCCGGAAUGCCGAGCCCCUUCGGAUGGAGGAGGUG